RNAcentral lists this ribosomal RNA (251 nucleotides) under uncultured bacterium. RNAcentral's name for it is "partial 16S ribosomal RNA". It matches the Rfam family "Bacterial small subunit ribosomal RNA", at positions 524 to 776 of the family's 1533-position model. The record is from RNAcentral.
GACGGGGGGGGCAAGUGUUCUUCGGAAUGACUGGGCGUAAAGGGCACGUAGGCGGUGAAUCGGGUUGAAAGUGAAAGUCGCCAAAAAGUGGCGGAAUGCUCUCGAAACCAAUUCACUUGAGUGAGACAGAGGAGAGUGGAAUUUCGUGUGUAGGGGUGAAAUCCGUAAAUAUACGAAGGAACGCCAAAAGCGAAGGCAGCUCUCUGGGUCCCUACCGACGCUGGGGUGCGAAAGCUAGGGGAGCAAACGGG